GCCUACGACCAUAUCACCCUGAAUGUGCCCGAUCUCAUCUGAUCUCGGAAGCUAAGCAAGGUCGAGCCUGGUUAGUACUUGCAUGGGAGACUGCCUGGGAAUACCAGGUGUUGUAGGCU
Molecule: ribosomal RNA, 119 nt
Filed under: Petromyzon marinus (sea lamprey)
Lineage: Eukaryota; Metazoa; Chordata; Hyperoartia; Petromyzontiformes; Petromyzontidae
Source: RNAcentral